RNAcentral lists this ribosomal RNA (497 nucleotides) under uncultured bacterium. RNAcentral's name for it is "partial 16S ribosomal RNA". It matches the Rfam family "Bacterial small subunit ribosomal RNA", at positions 28 to 507 of the family's 1533-position model. The record is from RNAcentral.
GAUGAACGCUGGCGGCGUGCCUAAUACAUGCAAGUCGAGCGAACGGACGAGAAGCUUGCUUCUCUGAUAUUAGCGGCGAACGGGUGAGUAACACGUGGAUAACCUACCUCUAAGACUGGGAUAACUGCUGGAAACCGGAGCUAAUACCGGAUACUAUUUUGAACCGCAUGGUUCAAAAGUGGAAGACGGUCUUGCUCUGGCUUAUAGAUGGAUCCGCGCUGCAUUAGCUAGUUGGUAAGGUAACGACUUACCAAGGCAACGAUGGAUAGCCGACCUGAGAGGGGGAUCGGCGACACGGGAAGGGAGACGAGGACACGACGACUAAGGGAGGGAGCAGUCUGGUAUCGGACGCAAUGGGGGGAAGUCUUACGGAGCAGCGCCGCGCGAGUGAUGACGGCCCCGCGAGCGGAAAACCGUGCUACGAGGUAAGAACAUAUUUGUACGGAAAAGUGCAGAAAGUGACGGUACCUGAUCAGAAAGCCACGGCUAACUACGUG